Anolis carolinensis (green anole) is the source of this 3576-nucleotide RNA transcript. RefSeq lists it as uncharacterized. NCBI's taxonomy places the organism in Eukaryota, Metazoa, Chordata, Lepidosauria, Squamata, Anolidae. The record is from RefSeq and is a predicted model, not a curated record. The transcript has 2 exons.
GUAUAUACGGUAUGUAGUUGGAAGAGACCACAAGAGCCAUCAAUUCCAAUCCUCUGCUAAAAUUGGGCCAUUUGAAGGAUAUGAGUCCAAUGAUUACAUUGGCCCAGAUUAAGGAUGCAUCUACACUGUGGAAUCAAUGCAGUUUGAUAUCACUUUAACUGCCAAGGCUCAUUGCUAUGAAAUCCUGGCAGUUGCAGUCUGGUGAGGUACCAGCACUUUUUGGCAGAGAAGGCUGAAGACCUUGUAAAACUACAAUUCCUAUGAUUCAAUAGCAUUGAGCUUUGGCUGCUUUGAAAUCAUGGAAGUUGUAAUUUUACAAUGUCUUUAGUCUUGUCUGCUAAAGAGUGCUAGUUUAUCCCAAACUGCAAAUCCCAGUGUUCUCCUUCAUUGGUGGACUCUCCUUUUCUGGAGGUAUUUAAACAGAGGUUGGAUGGUCACCCUUUGGAAGUGCUUUGACUGUGCAUUUGUAUAUAGCAGAGGGGUGGACUGGAUGGCCCUUGAGGUCUCUUCCAACCUUAUGAUUGUAUAACAUGUUAGAUCCUCCAAUGCAACGUCUGGGGGAAGGAUAACAUAGAAUCACCCAGAGGCCCUAAUAAAUUUUCAGAGAGACUAUUGAUUGUGGUUUUGAAAUUACAGGGGUCCUAUUGUAUAAUGCAAAGCUAGGCCAUCUGCUUUUGUCAGAGGAAGAUCAGGCCUAGAAUUUCUAAUGCAGACCCAUAUUAAGUAACACCGGCAUUGCCCUGGCACUUAUUCAGAUUCCCCGCAGAAAGCUUCAUUGUUGGAACUUGCCUCCAUACUUGUUUUCCUUUCUUUGAUCCCAAUUAAUCAUUUCUAUUCACUUUGUGGAUGGCCUUGUAUGUAUUCUACAAAGCCUUGUUUACUUCUGUUUUGCCCGUAGCUGUGCUGACUUCUCCGGCACAAAAGGCUGCCUUUUGAUUCCGAUGAAGGGCACUGACAAUUCUACCCACGCCUGAAUUCACAACCUUACAGAACGCCUGUCAACUUCCAAGCUGCCAAUGGGUCUUAAACCAGGUGACCUGAAGAAUACCAGAUUAGAGAGAUGGGCCGAAACUAACAAAAUGAAGUUCAACAGGGACAAAUGCAAGAUACUUCACUUCGGCAGAAAAAAUGGAAUGCAAAGAUACAGAAUGGGGGACGCCUGGCUCGACAGCAGUACGUGUAAAAAAGAUCUUGGAGUCCUUGUGAACAACAAGUUAAACAUGAGCCUACAAUGUGAUAUGGCAGCGAAAAAAGCCAAUGGGAUUCUAGCCUGCAUAAAUACGGGUAUAGCAUCUAAAUCCAGAGAAAUCAUGCUACCCCUCUAUUCUGCCUUGGUCAGGCCACAUCUGGAAUACUGUGUCCAAUUUUGGGCACCACAGUUGAAGGGAGAUGUUGACAAGCUGGAAAGCGUCCAGAGGAGGGCAACUAAAAUGAUCAAGGGUCUGGAGAACAAGCCCUAUGAGGAGCGGCUUAAAGAGCUGGGUAUGUUUAGCCUGCAGAAGAGAAGGCUGAGAGGAGACAUGAUAGCCAUAUACAAAUAUGUGAGGGGAAGUCAUAGAGAGGAGGGAGCAAGCUUGUUUUCUGCUGCCCUGGAGACUAGGACGUGGAACAACGGCUUCAAACUACAAUAAAGGAGAUUCCACCUGAACAUGAGGAAGAACUUCCUCACUGUGAGAGCUGUUCAGCAGUGGGACUCUCUCCCCGGACUAUGGUGGAGGCUCCUCCUUUGGAGGCUUUUAAGCAGAGGCUGGAUGGCCAUCUGUCGGGGGUGCUUUGAAUGAGAUUUUCCUGCUUACUGCAGGGGGUUGGACUGGAUGGCCCGUGAGGUCUCUUCCAACUCUACGAUUCUAUGAUUCUAUGUUUUUAUUCUUUGUAUUGUAUAUUGGCAUUGAAUCUUGCCAGACUGUGAGCUGCCCUGAGUCCCUUCGGGUGAGAAGGGCAGCAUAGAAAUGAUGGAAAUACAUAAAUAAAUAAAUUUUACAGUUCAGAAACCUAGUUGCCUUGCAGGAACAUCAUUUUUCAAAAAGGUUAUGACUUCUAACGAGGUCAUACCUUUCCAAAAAUCAUAAAAUCUCCAAAAGGUUAUGGAGAUUUUCAUUUUCCAAAAACUAUACUUAAACUUAAGUAGCAAGUACUUCACUGUGCAUAGGUUGCAAUUAUCUUUCAUUUGAUAUCUCCAAAGCCUUUGGUAUUAUUAAACUUUUGGAGAUGGAAACAUUGUGUCUGCCCUUUUAAGUGAUGCUGCUUGUUGGAAGUGGUAAACCUCCAAUAUUAUUAUUUAUUAUUAUUUACAGUAUUUAUAUUCCGCCCUUCUCACCCCGAAGGGGACUCAGGGCGGAUUACAAUGAACACAUAUAUGGCAAACAUUCAAUGCCAACAGAUAAACAACAUACAGUAGAGACAGACACAGAGGCAUUUAACAUUUUUCCAGCUUCACGAUUCUGGCCACAGGUGGAGCUGUUGUUUCACUGUCCACUAGUGGCUGUACUUCCUCAUUUCUUUCGUUGUGUUUUGCUGGCAGUUUUAUGAUGUUGUAAAUUAGUUAAAUUAGCCUCCCGCAUAAAGCGUACCUAAAUUUCCCUACUUGACAGAUACAACUGUCUUUCGGGGCUGCAUAGGUCAACAGCAAGCCGGGCUAUUUAAUGGUCGGGAGCUUAACCCGACCCGGGCUUCGAACACAUGACCUCUCGGUAAGUAGUGAUUUAUUGCAGCUGGUUACUAGCCAGCUGCGCCACAGCCCGGACCUUAUAGAAGUUAACUCAAAUGGAUGCAUCUACCCUGUAGCAUUAAUGCUGUUCAAUGCCACUUUAACUGCCAGGGCUCAGGUCUGUGGAAUCACGGAAGCUGUAAUUUUACAACUUCCUUAGUCUUCUCUGCCAAAGAGUACUGAUGCCUCACGAAACUACAAAUCCCAAGAUUCCAUAGCGUUGGGCCAUGGCAAUUAAAGUGGUGUCAAAUUGCUUCAAUUCUAUCACGUAGAUGGCUUGUUACGUGGUACUUUAUUGAGAAAGACUAUGAAUCUUUGGGCUUAUGCUUGACAAUCUGGGUGGAAAACCAAGAGGAGGUUUAAAAUCAGAAUGUUUUCUUUUAAUUGCCUUUCUUUAAAAUAAAUUAAUAUAUAACCAACAAGGUGUUUUUUCUUCCUUAUGUCUCAUACCUUUUUUCUUUAAAAAUGGAACCUACAGGAAUAGAAAUUUAAUUUUGACAUAUUUAUGGAAGCCAGAGACUUGUAUAAAGUUAACUGGAAAACCCACCCUGUCCCAACAUGUAGCGAGAAAGCAAGUUUGCACAAUUAAGGUAAAUGCACUGAGGCCUCCAAGCCUGAUUUUUUGAAGUGAUAAUGCAGAUCAUGUUUAAGGAGUUUCUCAGGAAAACAAGAACACCUUCACCUCUAAAAUUAAAAAGCCUUGCAUCCCCUCAUUUCCUUUAUGUAUCUACAAAGUGUUUCAAGGUUCAAACUCACACAGAUCUAAUGCAACUGGGCAGGUGUUGCUCAAUGUUCAAUGUUCAUGUUAUAACUAUGAAGCAUGGUCUUAAAUGAGCACCCCCCCUCAAUAAAAUGCUCAUUAAAUUUGU